AGAUUGAACGCUGGCGGCAUGCUUUACACAUGCAAGUCGAACGGUAACAGGCCGCAAGGUGCUGACGAGUGGCGAACGGGUGAGUAAUGCAUCGGAACGUGCCCAGUCGUGGGGGAUAACGCAGCGAAAGCUGUGCUAAUACCGCAUACGAUCUAUGGAUGAAAGCGGGGGACCGAAAGGCCUCGCGCGAUUGGAGCGGCCGAUGUCAGAUUAGCUAGUUGGUGGGGUAAAGGCCCACCAAGGCGACGAUCUGUAGCUGGUCUGAGAGGACGACCAGCCACACUGGAACUGAGACACGGUCCAGACUCCUACGGGAGGCAGCAGUGGGGAAUUUUGGACAAUGGGCGCAAGCCUGAUCCAGCAAUGCGCGUGCAGGAGAAGGCUUGGUGUAACUGCUUUGUACGGAACGAAACGGUCGUGGUUAAUACCGUCGGCUAAGUGACGGUACGUAAGAAUAAGCACCGGCUAACGUACGUGCCAGCAGCCGA
Molecule: ribosomal RNA, 488 nt
Filed under: uncultured soil bacterium
Lineage: Bacteria
Description: bacterial SSU rRNA
Rfam family: Bacterial small subunit ribosomal RNA
Source: RNAcentral